GGAAGCUCUCCUGCACCCUCAAUCUGCUGGCCACACCCAGGGCCCAGCUCAUCCAGAUGAGCUGGACAGCCCUGCGGGCCGCGUUCCCCGCCCUGAGCCCAGCACAGCUGCACCGGCUGCUGACUCACUACCAGCUGGCCUCGGCCAUGGGCCCCAUGAGCGCCUGGGAGCCAGGGGCCCAGGACAGCCCCGAGGCCUUCAGGUCAGGUAAGCCCUGCCCCAGGGCAGGAGAGGGCUGGGGACUUGGUGGGAGACUCGCCCCGAGGCUGGAGGCAGCAUGCUCUCAUCCCAUCUGAAGUGUAGUGUGGGGGACCUCCGUGGAGGAGCCUCCACCCAGAGGACCCCCCACCCUGUCCCCAACCUGGGGAUCCGGGGACCUCGACGGGGGAGUCAAGGAGCUGAGAGUCCAUGCCCAAGUUGCAAACUCCAGGCUCAGGUCCAAGGCCCCCUCGUUUCCUCAUGCAGCCGGAGGAUGGGGCCUCCCCUCUUGUGUGGCUACCCAGG
RNAcentral lists this small RNA (504 nucleotides) under Pongo abelii (Sumatran orangutan). Its description in RNAcentral is "retained intron". The record is from RNAcentral. Lineage: Eukaryota; Metazoa; Chordata; Mammalia; Primates; Hominidae.